GACAGAGGGUGCAAACGUUGUUCGGAAUUACUGGGCGUAAAGAGCGCGUAGGCGGUCCGGUAAGGCCGCUCUGAAAGCCCGAGGCUCAACCCCGGGAGGCGGGCGGAUACUGUCGGGCUAGAGUCCGGAAGAGGCGAGUGGAAUUCCUGGUGUAGCGGUGAAAUUCGUAGAUAUUCGGAAGAACACCAGUGGCGAAGGCGGCUCACUGGACUGGUAUUGACGCUGAGGUGCGAAAGCGUGGGGAGCAAACAGG
RNAcentral lists this ribosomal RNA (253 nucleotides) under uncultured bacterium. RNAcentral's name for it is "partial 16S ribosomal RNA". It matches the Rfam family "Bacterial small subunit ribosomal RNA", at positions 524 to 776 of the family's 1533-position model. The record is from RNAcentral.